This 253-nucleotide ribosomal RNA is filed under the name uncultured bacterium. Its description in RNAcentral is "partial 16S ribosomal RNA". It matches the Rfam family "Bacterial small subunit ribosomal RNA", at positions 524 to 776 of the family's 1533-position model. The record is from RNAcentral.
UACGUAGGGACCAAGCGUUGCUCGGAAUUACUGGGCGUAAAGCGCACGUAGGCGGACUUAUAAGUCAGGGGUGAAAUCCCGGGGCUCAACCUCGGAACUGCCUUUGAUACUGUAAGUCUCGAGUCCGAUAGAGGUGAGUGGAAUUCCUAGUGUAGAGGUGAAAUUCGUAGAUAUUAGGAAGAACACCAGUGGCGAAGGCGGCUCACUGGAUCGGUACUGACGCUGAGGUGCGAAAGCGUGGGGAGCAAACAGG